Molecule: ribosomal RNA, 484 nt
Filed under: uncultured bacterium
Lineage: Bacteria
Description: partial 16S ribosomal RNA
Rfam family: Bacterial small subunit ribosomal RNA
Source: RNAcentral
AUUGAACGCUGGCGGCAUGCUUUACACAUGCAAGUCGAACGGCAGCGCGGGCUUCGGCCUGGCGGCGAGUGGCGAACGGGUGAGUAAUACAUCGGAACGUGCCCAGUAGUGGGGGAUAGCUCGUCGAAAGCCGGAUUAAUACCGCAUACGACCUGAGGGUGAAAGCGGGGGAUCUUCGGACCUCUCGCUAUUGGAGCGGCCGAUGGCAGAUUAGCUAGUUGGUUGGGUAAAGGCCUACCAAGGCGACGAUCUGUAGCUGGUCUGAGAGGACGACCAGCCACACGGGGAGUGAGACACGGCCAAGAGUACUACGGGAGGCAGCAGUGGGGAAUUUUGGACAAUGGGCGAAAGCAUGAUCCAGCAAUGCCGCGUGUGUGAUGAAGGCGUUCGGGUUGUAAAGAACUUUUGGCGGGAACGAAAAGGACUGUGCCAAUACCACGGUUCGAUGACGGUACCCGCAGAAGAAGCACCGGCUAACUACGUG